CUUGAGCUUCAAAUGAAUCUUCUUUUCCAAAACUUCAUGUUUAACUCUUCAAGACUCCACUCGAUUUUACGAAAUUCGCCAACCUAGAAAAUUCUUAGCAAUCUCCCCCUUUGGCGAUUUCGUGACAAAACAUAUUACAUUGCUCGUUCAAAAAUCAGAAACUGUAAAAAGAAGAUCGUCGCAAUCACCAAACGACAAUCUCCUGCAUGAUCGAUCCAACAAAAGAAAAAUUACAUUUUUCUCACAAUCCUAAUACAAACUUUAUGACUUAGACAUG
Molecule: long non-coding RNA, 277 nt
Filed under: Ananas comosus (pineapple)
Lineage: Eukaryota; Viridiplantae; Streptophyta; Magnoliopsida; Poales; Bromeliaceae
Description: long non-coding RNA (ACOM_LNC036013)
Source: RNAcentral